This 376-nucleotide RNase P RNA is filed under the name Brevundimonas sp. M20. RNAcentral's name for it is "Bacterial RNase P class A". It matches the Rfam family "Bacterial RNase P class A". From Rfam's summary of the family: Ribonuclease P (RNase P) is a ubiquitous endoribonuclease, found in archaea, bacteria and eukarya as well as chloroplasts and mitochondria. Its best characterised activity is the generation of mature 5'-ends of tRNAs by cleaving the 5'-leader elements of precursor-tRNAs. RNAcentral also lists the same sequence under 1 other name. Lineage: Bacteria; Pseudomonadati; Pseudomonadota; Alphaproteobacteria; Caulobacterales; Caulobacteraceae. The record is from Rfam by way of RNAcentral.
UCAGACGGCCGGGCGGUCGCGGCGGGGCUUGCUCCGUCGAGGAAAGUCCGGGCUCCACGGUGAAAAGGCGGCGGGUAACGCCCGCCCGGGGUGACCCGAGGGAUAGCGCCACAGAAAGCAAACCUCCUCCCUUGCGAGGGGGGGAAGGGUGAAAGGGUGGGGUAAGAGCCCACCGCGGGACUGGCAACAGGACCGGCAUGGCAAGCCCCGCCUGGAGCAAGACCGAAUAGGGAUGUCGCGUGAGCCUCGGCUCACAGGGCUCACCGCCCGAGAGCAUCCGGGUAGGUCGCGAGAACCGGUCAGCAAUGGCCGGUCCAGAGGAAUGAUCGUCACCCGCUUGCGGGAACAGAACCCGGCUUACAGGCCGUCUGACCUU